UAAGGAAUCUUCCGCAAUGGGCGCAAGCCUGACGGAGCGACGCCGCGUGCAUGACGAAGCCCUUCGGGGUGUAAAAUGCUUUUCUGGGGGACGACACAAGACGGUACCCCAGGAAGAAGCCUCGGCUAACUACGUGCCAGCAGCCGCGGUAAUACGUAGGAGGCGAGCGUUGUCCGGAAUCACUGGGUGUAAAGCGCGUGUAGGCGGCCUGCCAAGUCUGCUGUGAAAGCGCCUGGCUUAACCGGGCGAGGUCGGUGGAAACUGGCGGGCUGGAGGACGGUAGAGGGGGGUGGAAUUCCCGGUGUAGUGGUGAAAUGCGUAGAGAUCGGGAGGAACACCAGUGGCGAAGGCGGCCCCCUGGGCCGUUCCUGACGCUGAGACGCGAAGGCGCGGGGAGCGAACGG
This 404-nucleotide ribosomal RNA is filed under the name uncultured bacterium. RNAcentral describes it as "bacterial SSU rRNA". It matches the Rfam family "Bacterial small subunit ribosomal RNA", at positions 355 to 775 of the family's 1533-position model. The record is from RNAcentral.